Molecule: long non-coding RNA, 378 nt
Filed under: Mytilus galloprovincialis (Mediterranean mussel)
Lineage: Eukaryota; Metazoa; Mollusca; Bivalvia; Mytilida; Mytilidae
Source: RNAcentral
CUUAUAUAUAGCUUGGGGCUGGGUUAUUGGGUCGUCAGGUGUUCGUAAAAAGGCAGAUGAAAUUUAUAAUGAGUGUCUUUGAAAGAUAUCAAAGCGUGAAAUAAAGGAAAGUUUCGAAAAUUCAUUUGGUGUCGAAUAUGGUAAGGUUAUUGUUUGUAUUUUUUGAGGAAAGGGUGCCAACGGUAAUAGGAAGUCUUUUAGUUACAAAUGCAAAGCUUCUUGCCGAGCACAAGGCUAUAAAACAGAAAAGUGAAUCAUUCAUGCGAUUAAAAGGUAAAAUUCAGAAAAUCCAGACAGCAACCAAAAAUUUUGAAAGGGACUUUGAACAGCUUUAUUGUCAUUGAUUGUGUCGACUAACAUGAAGAUGGUAUCAAAGAU